UCCGGUGGCAAUAGCGAAGAGGUCACACCCGUUCCCAUGCCGAACACGGCCGUUAAGCUCUUCUGCGUCAAU
This 72-nucleotide ribosomal RNA is filed under the name Alkalicoccobacillus porphyridii. Lineage: Bacteria; Bacillati; Bacillota; Bacilli; Caryophanales; Bacillaceae. The record is from RNAcentral.